Molecule: ribosomal RNA, 391 nt
Filed under: uncultured soil bacterium
Lineage: Bacteria
Description: bacterial SSU rRNA
Rfam family: Bacterial small subunit ribosomal RNA
Source: RNAcentral
AGAUUGAACGCUGGCGGCAGGCCUAACACAUGCAAGUCGAGCGGUAGAGAGGUGCUUGCACCUCUUGAGAGCGGCGGACGGGUGAGUAAUGCCUAGGAAUCUGCCUAGUGGUGGGGGAUAACGUUCGGAAACGGACGCUAAUACCGCAUACGUCCUACGGGAGAAAGCGGGGGACCUUCGGGCCUCGCGCCAUUAGAUGAGCCUAGGUCGGAUUAGCUAGUUGGUGAGGUAAUGGCUCACCAAGGCGACGAUCCGUAACUGGUCUGAGAGGAUGAUCAGUCACACUGGAACUGAGACACGGCCCAGACUCCUACGGGAGGCAGCAGUAGGGAAUAUUGGACAAUGGGCGAAAGCCUGAUCCAGCAAUGCCGCGUGAGUGAUGAAGGCCUUA